UUGGUUGGCUCUCUUCUCUCUAGGAAAACUAGCCAUGUAAGUUUCGUCUAGUGGCGGUUGUGGGGCUGCUGCUCUUGAGUCAAAAUCCAAAUCGAGUGCGAAUAGUUUUCGCGCUAGAUCUGCUGUUCAUUUUCCCCCAGUUUUUUAGUUGGCGUAGAGACGUUCGUGGCUUUGGAUCGUAGAAACUAACGUAUUGCUUGUAAAUAAAAAAUAAAAAAAAAGUAUUUUUUGUGAUCGUGAAAUAAAAAGGAAGUGGAAGUGUUUUUUGUGUCGCUGUCUGAUUUUCGCUGUCGUCACCGUCGCAGCGGCAGCGGCAGCGCAGUCGACGUCGCCGUCGUUGGGUUUUUGAACUGCGCUGUGCGUUCAACGCCCCCACCGUCCGUCCCCCUCCCCCCAAACCCCUUUUGAUAAACCGCCCUCCCUGUGCCGCCAACCCUCCCAUUUUUUUCGGUUCGCGCUUCGUGCAACUCCAAAAUGUGUGUCUGUGUCGCUGCCGCCAUUAUCGCUCGGCUGAUAAGUACUGGCCUACCUCCCCCAGCCCACCCCACCUUGCCCCACACUGCUGCAGUGCAACAAUCAGUUAUUGGCCCGCCGCUCUAAUGAACGUUGAACUGCAAAUUGCAAAAGCGUACGAAAAUAACAAACAAACUGGAUCAAAGGCGUAGUUGCCGUAGUGGGAGGGGGUUCACAUAAAAAAUUAUAUCAAAAGUGAAUGUAAAGCAAAAGAGUUGUUAUAAAAAAAUAUGAAACAAAAAUUAAUAAUAAUUAUGAAUAAUAAUAAAAACCCCCCUCGAUCGCACGCCCCUGUGAGAUUGGCGUUCUAGCGGUACAUCCGCGUCGCUCGCAUAGCCCCAACGCUCCCACUCGCUCACUCCCACAUGCGCCGCGCGGACUGCUUUGGGUGGGGUGCAUUCACCCCUAGUGCGCUCUCUCUCCCGCUCACACAAUCUCUAACUGGGAAAGAUCACUUUGCUGUUUUGCAAUUACAACCGGCAUUAACCCCUAGGUGGGACGGAGACCUCGACAACAACCUCUCCAGGCAGCGGCGUCGACUGAGGCAGAGCAGUAGCAGAGGUGGCAGCAGCGAUCUUCUUUCUAAUUGGCAACUGCAGUGGGUUAGUCACAAAAAUACACACACAGCUACACACACACAACACACACACUCUCUGGCACACACUCACGCACUUGUUAUCGCCCGAAGGCCCAAAUAUCGGAUGCGUGCAUUGCCCGCUCAAGGCAUUAAUAAAAAAAAUAUAUACAAAAAAAUAUCAAAAAAAAAUAAAGAAAAAAAGGCAAGAAAGCAAAAGCAACUCACGAGGCAGCGAUCGGGCGUAUACGUAAUAUUCCGUAGGAGGUCAACGCCAGCGGAACGCGUUAGAGACGAGGCCCUACAAAAAUAUCGUGUUUACAGGAGAAAAGCUUUGGCAAAGGUUCAAUAACCCCUUAAAAAAAAAAAUACAGAAUACAGAAUACAGAAUGCGGAAUGC
Molecule: RNA transcript, 1487 nt
Organism: Drosophila ananassae
Lineage: Eukaryota; Metazoa; Arthropoda; Insecta; Diptera; Drosophilidae
Exons: 3
Source: RefSeq, a predicted model, not a curated record